This 561-nucleotide ribosomal RNA is filed under the name Newportia divergens. RNAcentral's name for it is "eukaryotic LSU rRNA". It matches the Rfam family "Eukaryotic large subunit ribosomal RNA", at positions 666 to 946 of the family's 3401-position model. Lineage: Eukaryota; Metazoa; Arthropoda; Chilopoda; Scolopendromorpha; Scolopocryptopidae. The record is from RNAcentral.
CCAAGGAGUCUAACAUGUGCGCGAGUCUUCGGGUCGUCCGAAACUCGACGAAACCUGAAAGGCGCAAUGAAAGUGAAGGUCGGGCCGUCCCCCGCUCUCGGGCGGGGGCGGUCGACCGAGGCGGGAUCCGAAGGGCGUCCGUUUUUCCCGUUCCUCCUCGACCCCUCCCGGUUUGCCCCUCGCGGGUUUUGCUGGGUGGGGCGGAGGUUUCGGGGCGGCGCCGACGAAUCGGAAACGAAAAGCCGGGUCGGGGAAAUAUCCUCUCCUUCCCGCGGCGUCCUCUCCGGAGGCGUCGCGGGGUCGAGAAACUCCACUUCGCGGUGGAGCGGAAAACAAAACGAACGAGACCCCGCAACCCGGUCGGCGCACCGCCGGCCCGUCUCUACCGCUCAACGUCGGUGAGGCGGAGCAAGAGCGUACACGUUGGGACCCGAAAGAUGGUGAACUAUGCUCGGGCAGGACGAAGCCAGAGGAAACUCUGGUGGAGGUCCGUAGCGAUUCUGACGUGCAAAUCGAUCGUCGGACCUGAGUAUAGGGGCGAAAGACUAAUCGAACCGUCUA